ACUUCAAAAGCAUUGACCAACUGCAGAUUUGGUUCCCAUCUGAUUCAGUCUUUCUCCGGAUCAGCCAUGCUUCUAUAAAAGCAGCAUCACUGCAUCAUCUGUCUCGGCAGUUAACGAACUCAGGAUCCACAGAAAUGGGUCUCCUUUUAAAGUUUCUUGCUUUCAUCUUGAUCCACCAGUUGCUUGUAUCAGCGGUCUUAUCUGAUGGUUCGAUUCGCUCACACCAUCUUCCUCACGAGUUGAGGUCGUUGCCUAUUAGGGCCACAAGAAGGUCUCCUCCACCACCUCCUCGGGUGAAUGCUCCUUACCAUCUCAAAAGUCCUCCUCCUAGACCAAUGGGCCCACCGCCGCCACUGCUGCCACCUCCGCCACCAUGCAGCUAGACAGAUUGAUGCGAUCACUUUACCAAUUCCUGCAAUUUUUCCUCAUGUUUGCUCUCAAUGUUUGUGACUCGAUUUCUAGAUUGUUUGGUUCUAUAUUGGAAUGUGUACUUGAAUGUAAGAGAACGUAGAUGAAUAAAAGCAGUUCACGGCCCUGUCAUUCUUCGAA
This is a long non-coding RNA of Eucalyptus grandis, 549 nucleotides long. RefSeq lists it as uncharacterized. The record is from RefSeq and is a predicted model, not a curated record. The transcript has 2 exons. Lineage: Eukaryota; Viridiplantae; Streptophyta; Magnoliopsida; Myrtales; Myrtaceae.